CCUACGGGUGGCAGCAGUCGGGAAUCUUCCGCAAUGGAGGAAACUCUGACGCAGUGACGCCGCGUGCAGGAAGAAGGUUUUCGGAUUGUAAACUGCUUUAGACAGGGAAGAAAAAAGACAGUACCAGUAGUAUAAGCUCCGGCGAACUACGUUCCAGCAGCCGCGGUAAUACGUAGGGAGCAAGCGUUAUCCGGAAUUAUUGGGUGUAAAGGGUCCGUAGACGGGAAAACAAGUGAGUUGUGAAAUCCCUCAGCUUAACUGAGGAAGUGCAACUAAAACUAUUUUUCUUGAGUGCUGGAGAGGAAAGUGGAAUUCCAAGUGUAGCGGUGAAAUGCGUAGAGAUUAGGAGGAACACCAGUGGCGAAGGCGACUUUCUGGACAGUAACUGACGUUGAGGCACGAAAGUGUGGGGAGCAAACAGGAUUAGAUACCCUAGUAGUC
This 441-nucleotide ribosomal RNA is filed under the name uncultured bacterium. RNAcentral's name for it is "partial 16S ribosomal RNA". It matches the Rfam family "Bacterial small subunit ribosomal RNA", at positions 338 to 795 of the family's 1533-position model. The record is from RNAcentral.